GACGAACGCUGGCGGCGUGCCUAAUACAUGCAAGUUGAGCGCUGAAGGUUGGUACUUGUACCAACUGGAUGAGCAGCGAACGGGUGAGUAACGCGUGGGGAAUCUGCCUUUGAGCGGGGGACAACAUUUGGAAACGAAUGCUAAUACCGCAUAAAAACUUUAAACACAAGGUUUAAGUGUGAAAGAUGCAAUUGCAUCACUCAAAGAUGAUCCCGCGUUGUAUUAGUUAGUUGGUGAGGUAAAGGCUCACCAAGGCGAUGAUACAUAGCCGACCUGAGAGGGUGAUCGGCCACAUUGGGACUGGGACACGGCCCAAACUCCUUCGGGAGGCAGCAGUAGGGAAUCUUCGGCAAUGGACGAAAGUCUGACCGAGCAACGCCGCGGGAGUGAAGAAGGUUUUCGGAUCGUAAAACUCUGUUGGUAGAGAAGAACGUUGGUGAGAGUGGAAAGCUCAUCAAGUGACGGUAACUACCCAGAAAGGGACGGCUAACUACGUG
Molecule: ribosomal RNA, 497 nt
Filed under: uncultured bacterium
Lineage: Bacteria
Description: partial 16S ribosomal RNA
Rfam family: Bacterial small subunit ribosomal RNA
Source: RNAcentral